Gasterosteus aculeatus aculeatus (three-spined stickleback) is the source of this 1580-nucleotide long non-coding RNA. RefSeq lists it as uncharacterized. The record is from RefSeq and is a predicted model, not a curated record. NCBI's taxonomy places the organism in Eukaryota, Metazoa, Chordata, Actinopteri, Perciformes, Gasterosteidae.
CGCGCGGUCAGAGGUUAAUUACCUUAGCGCGAGCAUUUAGCUUUAGUCUUCCUUAAACAGCGUGCUAACUGACAAACGCAUGAACAAACAAACAAGCAGGACUACAAAUAGAACAGCCAAAGCGGAAGAGUUUGAAAACGUGAUUGAAAUAAUUGUUCGUCCGAGCCCACCUGUCGCCCCCCGAGGAGAGAGCACAGGUGACAAGCUUCCCAUCCACCUCGCAAACAUCUCGAGCCCACCGGCCGACUCGCUGCCUGUGAGACCUGCAUGGGAGAGGCAAGGUUUGAGUGGGAGGAAGAACCAGAGCCGAGCCGGUGAGCAGCAGGAAUCCUCAUCAUGGCCUCCGUCUAGGUCUGCAACACACAACCCAGAACCAAACAACAGCGACAACUAGUGCCCGGGAGGAAGAGGGGCUUCACAACAGGACACCAAACGGAGGCUCUGGCGCGCUGCACAGACGAAACAUCGGAGGAUUGUGUGUUGAGCUCACUUUAUACACCCAUCUAUUAAUGACGCCACUACGGGAUUCUUCUGUAUGGUUACACGCGUCACGCCCUGACAAAGAAUGCAGAGCGCGCUUCAUCUGGCCGCGACCUGUGAGCUCUGCGCUGCUCCUCGCCACCUCCCAAGGCAACAGCGUUCAUCUUAUCUCAGCUUGUUUUUCUUCCCCUUCCUGUGGCCUGCGGGGGAAGACGCAGCGUUUGUGCCCCCCUCAGCACCUGACCCGAUGAAUAAGCGGCCACAGGGGUCACGGUCAGUCUCUGACACAUCCUCUGUCGUCACGGAGACGCCCGCUCACAGGCCGCCCGGAGGGAGCCCGGCCCGUGUGAGAGCGCCGCCCACACCGAGGGACUCGCAUCGCUCUUUAAACUGCCACAUGAAGAUGGACAGAGAGAGAGAGGAAGUGAAAAGUUGUUAAUGAUUGAAGCUUUCUGAGUAGUGUCUCGCUCUGACUGCAGUGUGUGUGUGUGUGUGUGUGUGUGUGCAGAUAUCUCUAACCCGAUGCACACAGAGUAUUUGGAGUCACCAGCUGGAUUAUUUUAUGGGGCUCCGUUGCAUUAUCGCCUGCUCAGCUGUCCUUAACUGGGAUCGUCCCCAUUGGACGAGGCGGUGCUUCCUCGCUCGCCGACACGGGCAGCGUUUGAUGGAGCAGAGAAUUAAACGACAACAUGUCAGAACCAAUUCAUUGUUGUGCUCACCUUUUAUAGUUUGAAUCGUAUUUACAAAAGAGAAUGAAAAUGAAUUCACAUCUUAAUGAUGGAGUGAAUGAUGGUUUCACUUCUUAAUGAACAGACAAAAGACUUGUGUAGGCUGACUAAAGGGUGACUAAAGGGUUAGGAAAGUCUGGUUCCUGCUUUAUUUUUAUUUCUGCUUCUUGUUGUUGUAAAUUUCUGUGACUUUUGGAUGGAACCAUUUAUUAUCAAUGAUGGACAUUUACUCUUUGAACCUUUUAUUUCAAAGAUUAAUAAUUUACAGAGGGAGGUUUUCUUUCAUUUUUCUAUUACUUGUAUGAUGACACAUAACACAAUUAAAUAUUCCCCUUUUGUGUGUCUUAAUGGAAUAAAACGUGUUAAGCUGUA